GAUGGGAGGCCUGCUCCCAUAUCAUGAGACUUGACAUGCUUGAUGGGUCUCUAGAUUUUUAAAAUACAAUAAUUUUAUGAGGCAGCAGAGACUGGAAGGGUGAACAUUCAUCACACAGAAGAAAAAUGUUUGUGGACAAUGAGAGAAACCAUGCAGGGGAGGAUUUGUGUAGAAGAAAUAUACGUCAAUUUCAUGACUAGCUAUCUGAAGACGGAAUAAGAUGGGCAGAAAUGGGAGGCACCACGAUUGAAAUAAAAAUAUAAGUGAAAUGAAAAGGACUAUGAAAAACCACUGGAUUAAUCGGUGGAAAAUAGCAAUUACACUGUUUGCAUUUGGCUACAGAAUGAUCAGGCAUGAGUUCACUACAGCUUACUGGAAGAAGAGUAUAAGGAGAAGGCAGCAUUAUCAAAUAUUAUUGAAGUGAUAAGAAAACAUUCACAUUUAAUUUAAUGAAGAAUACCCUCCAGCAAGACACAGCUUUUGCCAAAGCAUCUCAGAAGACUUCCCCUUUUGCUGAAUCAAAUGCUACCUGAAAGACAGAGUGAUUCAGUCUGCGACAGCUGAUGAAACCAAGUCCACUUGGCUCCUGUCUAAUGCUUUUACAUGACGAAGGAAACGUUUAUUCUUCUCUAAUUUCCAGCUGAUCCCUACGAUGUACAAAGCCCUAUUCUUUGUUCCCCAGUACUACAAGGUAUAAUGAUACCCAAUCAUGCUCAGAAUAUUCACAGCCUUAAACCUCAUUUGGAUCCUCAGCACACAACUCUCCUUCUGUUGGUGCUAAGAUGAAGGUUGACUCUGGCCCACAACAUACCAUUAAUUGCUUCACUCCGUGCCAGCACCACUGCUGUGCGACUGCACUGGUCAAUCCAUAUUUCAGCAAAAGCAGGAUGUCACAAUAAAGAAAUUAUAUUUUUCUUCUUCCUGUAUCUCUCAUAAGAGUCAACAAAAUAUUUCUUGUUGAUUUUAGUGGAGCAUAUGUUUGACUGCUAUGUUAAAAUGUUAAAACCUUGUGCCACAGUGUAAAUAAAAUAUCUGAGGGCCUAACAAUAUAUUACACAUAAAACGUGAUUCUCUCCGCACAUCUAUGUUCAAGGAAGGCUGCUUCCUUGGUAAUGUUUAGAUGGAUAUGAAAGCAAUUAAACCUCUUUCUGCCUGCUUCUUCUUCCCUUUCUUUAGAAGCACUGCUUCAAGUUACUUUUCUCUCAAUAACACUGUGCUAGGAAGAGGUGUAGGAAAGCAGCUGGGAAGGUACUGCAAAGGAGAGAACUGACAGGGAAAGACUAAAGAACCGUAUAAUUCUGCUACUUCUCCAUUCAGAGAUGUUCUCUCUGUAAGUUAUUUUGCCUAAAGGAAAAAAGGUACCACAGCUGUUUAGUGACAUGUUUGCAUGUAACAUAAAAUCUGGCCCAAAAGCACUAUGGCAGUAGGCCCAAUUGAUACCAAGCCUGUACUCAAGACACAGCCAAACUGUCUAACACUGAGUUCCCACCAACAUCAGUGACUUCACACUUAAAACCUGUAAAGGCCUAAUCAAAACACUACGAGUCAAUCCUAGCCACACAAAAUAGUGGUGUAUACAGUUCUUUUGAAAAUGACCUUUGGAAUGCGCAAAGGUUUUAUGUACAACUACUGUCAGAUGUUACUUCAACAGAAGGGCUGUCCUUCCUUACUUUAUUUCUCAUUGACUAGUGGAGGCAUCAUAACAAAGCUGGUAUUAGCAUGUACAAAGUAGAAACAGUGAAAAAAAUGUGGUUUUGGAGAAUGUUAGGCAUAAGCUUACUUCCAGAUUGCCAAGAGAUACAGUACAGUAUGUUGACACUCAUGCCCAAGUAACUGAUGUACAAUUAGUUAUUGGCUUCUCCAGUUGUGCCCUUUGCACCAUUUCCUCCUUGAGUCGCGAGACAUCCCAGUUGAACAGCGAUGGCUUAGAACAUCAAGUCCCCCUCAUGUACAAUGCAGCCCCAC
This is a non-coding RNA of Pogona vitticeps (central bearded dragon), 1965 nucleotides long. NCBI's taxonomy places the organism in Eukaryota, Metazoa, Chordata, Lepidosauria, Squamata, Agamidae. The record is from RefSeq and is a predicted model, not a curated record.